Molecule: non-coding RNA, 31 nt
Filed under: Rattus norvegicus (Norway rat)
Lineage: Eukaryota; Metazoa; Chordata; Mammalia; Rodentia; Muridae
Source: RNAcentral
UUAUUGGUCGUUUCUGCAGAGUAAACAUUCU